GCGUGCCUAAUACAUGCAAGUCGAGCGGACAGAAGGGAGCUUGCUCCCGGAAGUCAGCGGCGGACGGGUGAGUAACACGUAGGUAACCUGCCCCUUAGACUGGGAUAACUCCGGGAAACCGGAGCUAAUACGGGAUAAUAAAGAGAAUCACCUGAUUCUCUUUUGAAAGACGGUUUCGGCUGUCACUAAGGGAUGGGCCUGCGGCGCAUUAGCUAGUUGGUAAGGUAACGGCUUACCAAGGCGACGAUGCGUAGCCGACCUGAGAGGGUGAUCGGCCACACUGGGNNNGAGACACGGCCCAGACUCCUACGGGAGGCAGCAGUAGGGAAUCUUCCGCAAUGGACGAAAGUCUGACGGAGCAACGCCGCGUGAGUGAGGAAGGCCUUCGGGUCGUAAAGCUCUGUUGUGAGGGAAGAACAAGUACCGGCGUAACUACCGGUACCUUGACGGUACCUCACCAGAAAGCC
This 467-nucleotide ribosomal RNA is filed under the name Bacillus sp. (in: firmicutes). RNAcentral describes it as "bacterial SSU rRNA". It matches the Rfam family "Bacterial small subunit ribosomal RNA", at positions 42 to 492 of the family's 1533-position model. Lineage: Bacteria; Bacillati; Bacillota; Bacilli; Caryophanales; Bacillaceae. The record is from RNAcentral.